GACUGUUUUAGAUGAAUGAUGAAAGAUUUCGACAGAUAAGUGGUACUCCAAAUCUGAAGUCCACAAUACCCGAACAUGCCGCCGGGACUCUUGUGUCACCUCACGCGCAGCGUGUUGUCACGUCAAUUCAGUGUGAGGACAUGAUGAAUAUUUUGACCUACGUAUACUAGUACUACUACUGUACUACUUACUAGUCGCAAUUAGUGUCACAUUUUAACCAUAGGUUUAACUAACAAAAUAUCAAAUGCAUGUCACCGAAAAUUAUACCAUUGGAAACUAUGUUCAAAUACGAAUCAAACGAUAUAAUUUUUUGUGACAUGCACUAACAUUUGGUUAGUAAAAUUUAUGAACAAAAUUUGACACAUAUUACGAAGGGGACCAAUAAACCAAGAGGGAGCUAGUAGUACGAGUAGGAAACAAAAGAAAAAAAAACCUCGGCCACCCCACCCACCCACGAUCUCUCCCCUUCCCUGAAAUCCCGACUCUCUUCCCUUGUGUGCAUCGCCGCCGGGACCCUUCACCUGCUUCCACCGCGCCGCUCCACUCCGCGAACCCCAACCACCUACAGCCGCCGGCCUACCCACACCUCCGUUUACCCACCAUCCGUGGCGCGCCGUCCUGGCCCUCUUCCACCGCCGGGAGUCGCCUCGGGCCCCGCCUAUCGCCGCGUGACACCCUACCCGCCCCUGACCACCGGAAACCACGCGCACCUUGCCGUCCCUCGCGUGCUAGCCCGCCCUUCGCCGUGCAGCGGACCCAGCCACCACGCAGAUCAUGCCGCCCCUGCAAACCUGAUCGCUGAUCCAGUCGAGGGGGCGGCCGGAUCCAGCCGACCACGACCCCCGGCAAGGCAUGGGAAGCGGCGUGCACGGGGCGGCCUCCUGCUCCCGGCCGAUGUAGUGGUUGUCUGCGCCGCCGUCCUACAGUGCGAUGGGGAUCCACCGUCGCGGCGCUCAUGACGUUCGGCACCGCCACCUCCGGCCGUUCAAGACGGAGCUCCUGGAUGGUGCUAGCCUAGCUCCAUGCUUCGGACAUGGAGAGGUGGUGGCUGGCUCACACUUAGGAUGGCUUCGCAUCAGUCCAACUACAUUGCUAGUCCCCGUUCAGGGAUCCUGAAGAAAAUACAUGUGGGUUUGGCAUGUCUCACAUCCUGCAGCAACGAUCCUCUGCAAGCCCUGAGCCGCCAGUGUUCCGUCCACAAAUCAGUGAGGGAUGUAAAAGCGGCUGUGGCAUCUUGUCAGCUCCCCAUCAAAUGUAAGCCUAUUAUGUCGUCCUUCAGUAGCAGUUCAACAAAAAAACUGCAGCAAUUCUACAUGGGAAACUAUGAUAUUUCAGGUCUGCUACUAUGUACGUUGCUUGUUGGUAUGCCAAUGAGUACAAACAUUUUGUGUAGGUUCUUUGCCCCUUCAGCUUUCUCUGCCAUGGAUGUGUGCAUGCGUGCUAUGUGCGUGAGUGCGCUACAGCAAUUUGUGUAAAAGAAGCAUUUUCAAUUGGGAAAAAUUAGUUGAUGGUUGUUGAAGUUCAGACAUUUGUAUUGGUGACGUUUAGUAAUUAUAGAAUGAGAAGUAGUGCGUGCCGUCUUGUGCCCA
Molecule: long non-coding RNA, 1589 nt
Organism: Aegilops tauschii subsp. strangulata
Lineage: Eukaryota; Viridiplantae; Streptophyta; Magnoliopsida; Poales; Poaceae
Source: RefSeq, a predicted model, not a curated record